Long non-coding RNA from Leptopilina heterotoma, 685 nucleotides. RefSeq lists it as uncharacterized. NCBI's taxonomy places the organism in Eukaryota, Metazoa, Arthropoda, Insecta, Hymenoptera, Figitidae. The record is from RefSeq and is a predicted model, not a curated record. The transcript has 3 exons.
AAAUAAAUAAAUGCAUUCAUGAUGGUAUAUUUAAAAAAACGACGAAACAUAUUUUCGUUCAAAGACAAAAGAGUAAUCAAAAGAAAAAAUUAAGAAAAAUAUACGAAAAAAGUAUAAGGAACUAAUUUUCCACAUUUCACUAUCAAAUAAGAUGAGUUACCAAAGAACAAAAACAAUUUUUGCAUUCGCACUUUUUGCGAUAUUUUUGACUUCUUCAUUCAAAAUAUCCUUUGGAUUUCCGAACGCUGCUAAAUCUUGUGGAAUGAAUAUGUUAGAUGUACUACAAAUUAUUUGCGGUUAUAGUAUUAAAUACUUAGACAACAAAGUCGAGCUUGAAGAUGUUAAACAUCCAUGUUGCAAAAAAGAUGAGUUACCAAAGAACAAAAACAAUUUUUGCAUUUGCAUUUUUUGCCAUAAUUUUGACUUCUUCAUUCACAAUAUCCUUUGGAUAUCGGACGAUUGCUAAAAUUUGUGGGAGGAAUAUAUUAGAUAUGCUAGAAAUUAUUUGCGGUGGAACUGAUAAUUACUUAAAAUACAAAGAAUUCCUUAUUGAUAGCAUACAUCCAUGUUGCAGACAAGGUUGUACACAUUAUGAGUACUCUGAAUACUGUUGAGAAAAUUAAAGAUAUUCUAUAAUUUAGGCGGCAAAUGUAAAAAUGUAAAAAAAAAUGAAGAAGAAAAUACA